AUUGAACGCUGGCGGCAGGCCUAACACAUGCAAGUCGAGCGGAUGAAGGGAGCUUGCUCUCUAAUUCAGCGGCGGACGGGUGAGUAAUGCCUAGGAAUCUGCCUGGUAGUGGGGGACAACGUCUCGAAAGGGACGCUAAUACCGCAUACGUCCUACGGGAGAAAGCAGGGGACCUUCGGGCCUUGCGCUAUCAGAUGAGCCUAGGUCGGAUUAGCUAGUUGGUGAGGUAAUGGCUCACCAAGGCGACGAUCCGUAACUGGUCUGAGAGGAUGAUCAGUCACACUGGAACUGAGACACGGUCCAGACUCCUACGGGAGGCAGCAGUGGGGAAUAUUGGACAAUGGGCGAAAGCCUGAUCCAGCCAUGCCGCGUGUGUGAAGAAGGUCUUCGGAUUGUAAAGCACUUUAAGUUGGGAGGAAGGGCAGUAAAUUAAUACUUUGCUGUUUUGACGUUACCGACAGAAUAAGCACCGGCUAACUCUGUGCCAGCAGCCGCGGUAAUACAGAGGGUGCAAGCGUUAAUCGGAAUUACUGGGCGUAAAGCGCGCGUAGGUGGUUUGUUAAGUUGGAUGUGAAAGCCCCGGGCUCAACCUGGGAACUGCAUUCAAAACUGACGAGCUAGAGUAUGGUAGAGGGUGGUGGAAUUUCCUGUGUAGCGGUGAAAUGCGUGGAUAUAGGAAAGGAACACCAGUGGCGAAAGGCGACCACCUGGACUGAUACUGACACUGAGUGCGAAAGCGUGGGGAGCAAACAGGAUUAGAUACCCUGGUAGUCCACGCCGUAACGAUGUCAACUAGCCGUUGGGAGCUUGAGCUCUUAGUGCGCAGCUACGCGUGAGUGACGCUGGGAGUACGUCUCAGAUNN
This 863-nucleotide ribosomal RNA is filed under the name uncultured bacterium. RNAcentral describes it as "bacterial SSU rRNA". It matches the Rfam family "Bacterial small subunit ribosomal RNA", at positions 28 to 873 of the family's 1533-position model. The record is from RNAcentral.